Molecule: ribosomal RNA, 253 nt
Filed under: uncultured bacterium
Lineage: Bacteria
Description: partial 16S ribosomal RNA
Rfam family: Bacterial small subunit ribosomal RNA
Source: RNAcentral
GCAAGUCGAGCGGUAACAGGGGUAGCUUGCUAUUUUGCUGACGAGUGGCGGACGGGUGAGUAAUGCUUGGGAAUUUGCCUUGUUGUGGGGGACAACAGUUGGAAACGACUGCUAAUACCGCAUAAUCUCUUAGGAGCAAAGGUGGCCUCUAUUUAUAUGCUAUCGCAACAAGAUGAGCCCAAGUGGGAUUAGCUGGUUGGUAAGGUAAUGGCUUACCAAGGCGACGAUCCCUAGCUGGUCUUAGAGGAUGACC